UACUGAUAUUAUUGAUUUUUAUUUCCGUUACUAUAUAGCAGAGAAAAGUUUCAACUUUCCAAAAUAUAAUUUCAGGAAGCCGGACAUUCACAUUUAAUAAAAUCGAUUGCAACGGAUGACUAUUUAACUGACAGGAAUUGUGGGGCUUUGAAUGUUGCUAAAAAUAAUUGUUUCUUUUAUUUGUCGGUAGAAAAAGAAGGCCUGAAAAUUACACCUGACAAUUAUGUUUUUCCUUCUAAGAUAAGAGAUUCUGAUGUCCAAAAACCUAAAGUACAGAUUUCUUCUGUAAAGAAAAUAAGCGAUGAGCAAAUCUACAGCAUAAACAUUGAAACUGAUCAAAUCGCAUUAUUUGUUUGGUUGGAAUCACCAGUCAUAUCAGGAACAUUUUCGGAAAAUGGAUUUUUGAUGGUCAACAAUACAAAAACCGUUUAUUUCAAUAGUGAAGAAGAAUCAAUUUCACCGGAGGAAUUGUCAGAAACGUUGACUUUGACGCACUUGAUGGAUGAACAAUACUUCUAAUCGAUUUCAAGAUCAAAUUUAAAUGUACAAUUCAUCGUAUUUUCAUCUAUUUUUGUUUAUAUUAAAAUGAUAUCAAUAUAAUAUUAAUAUUGAUUAAGAUUCAUAUUUUUUCGCUGUAUAGAACCAUUUAUUCCUCAAUUGAAUUUUUGCUUCUUUAUAUAAUAAUGUAUUGGUAACUUCUAAUCAUUAGCACUGGGGGUUAUAAUUAUUCCGCCCUAUCUUUUGCCUGUAAUGAAAUACAACUAAAAAUAAAGCUUAA
Molecule: long non-coding RNA, 778 nt
Organism: Leptinotarsa decemlineata (Colorado potato beetle)
Lineage: Eukaryota; Metazoa; Arthropoda; Insecta; Coleoptera; Chrysomelidae
Source: RefSeq, a predicted model, not a curated record